CAGCUAUAUCACGUUGAAACACCAGUUCGUGUACGACCACCGAAGUUAAUCAACAUUGAGCCUGAUAAGUACCUAGAUGAGUGACUGAUUGGCAAUACCAGGUGCUGUAA
Molecule: non-coding RNA, 110 nt
Organism: Acanthosepion pharaonis
Lineage: Eukaryota; Metazoa; Mollusca; Cephalopoda; Sepiida; Sepiidae
Source: the annotation of a GenBank genome assembly